AUUGAACGCUGGCGGCAUGCCUUACACAUGCAAGUCGAACGGUAACAGGGAGCUUGCUCCGCUGACGAGUGGCGAACGGGUGAGUAAUGUAUCGGAACGUACCAUUCAGUGGGGGAUAACGUAGCGAAAGUUACGCUAAUACCGCAUAUUCUGUGAGCAGGAAAGCAGGGGAUCGCAAGACCUUGCGCUGAUUGAGCGGCCGAUAUCAGAUUAGCUAGUUGGUGAGGUAAAGGCUCACCAAGGCGACGAUCUGUAGCGGGUCUGAGAGGAUGAUCCGCCACACUGGAACUGAGACACGGUCCAGACUCCUACGGGAGGCAGCAGUGGGGAAUUUUGGACAAUGGGGGCAACCCUGAUCCAGCCAUGCCGCGUGAGUGAAGAAGGCCUUCGGUUGUAAGACUCUUUCGGUCCGGGAAAAGUACGACAUCAGUUAAUACCUAGGUGUGGAUGAUGGUACGGAAUAAGAAGACACCGGCUAACUACGU
RNAcentral lists this ribosomal RNA (485 nucleotides) under uncultured bacterium. Its description in RNAcentral is "bacterial SSU rRNA". It matches the Rfam family "Bacterial small subunit ribosomal RNA", at positions 30 to 506 of the family's 1533-position model. The record is from RNAcentral.